CGGAGUGACGUCAGGAGGAGGCAGGGAGCUGCUCAGAGGAUCAGACCGUGCCCAGCUGCUGUCCAAGGAGCUGGUAUUCUCACCCGGGGAGCAGGCAUUGCCCCCCACCCCAUCACCUGGGCAGGGGCUGGCUCAUAGAUCCUGUUGGCACAGCCCCAGGAGACCCCUGAGACCUCCCAACACAGCCCCGGGAGGCACCAGCCCA
This is a long non-coding RNA of Suncus etruscus (white-toothed pygmy shrew), 205 nucleotides long. RefSeq lists it as uncharacterized. The record is from RefSeq and is a predicted model, not a curated record. NCBI's taxonomy places the organism in Eukaryota, Metazoa, Chordata, Mammalia, Eulipotyphla, Soricidae. The transcript is spliced from 3 exons.